Long non-coding RNA from Lathyrus oleraceus (garden pea), 1107 nucleotides. RefSeq lists it as uncharacterized. The transcript has 3 exons. The record is from RefSeq and is a predicted model, not a curated record. NCBI's taxonomy places the organism in Eukaryota, Viridiplantae, Streptophyta, Magnoliopsida, Fabales, Fabaceae.
ACUCAAUCUGCAAAAUCUCUUUCUAAUUGGUCUGGUGGUUCUCAGUAUUCGCCAGUAGAAAGGUUUGUUCAUAAUGCGAAAUGUAUGUCCUUAAGUCAGUUCUGCAAAAUCAAACAUGUAAGUUGAAUACUAUAGAGCCGAAUUUAUCUUUACUAUUACAAUUAUAUUGUUUGCUUUUUGAAAUUAAUAUCAUUUUUGAUUUGCUUUUAGGAAACUUUAUGUGUUACUGUAGCAACCACAUUGAAAUUUGUUGUCUCAAAGUAUGGAUGGUUUUAUUAUGGCUACACAAGGUGUUCUUCGAAGGCACCUAAUCCUGAAAAAGCUUAUGAAUGUUCAUGUGGGCAAAAAGUCGAACAGCCUAUACCAAGGUACAAGAUUGAGAUAUAUGUUAGCAAUGGUGAAUCAAAAUAUCGAUUUGUAUUCUGGGAUUCCGAAUGUGCUGCUAUACUUGGAAUGACUGCUGAAUUUAUGCAUAACUCUAUGGUGGAGGUACAUUGUUAUACAUAAGUUAAAAUGUUAAUAGUUUAUCGAGUUGUAAAGUUCAGAUUAUCACUCAUGGUUGAUAUUUUAUUUUUCCAUUAGAAUGGAGAAGAUGAUCCAAUGGUUUAUCCUGAUGAGCUUGAAAUGCUGUUGAAUAAGAAAAUGGCUUUUAGAGUUAAGGUGCAGCCAACGUUUUCCCAAGCGUCUGUUUGGAAGCUUUGUGAUGAUGAAGCCUUUGUUAAAGAGAUUGAAAAUGACUACAUAGUAGAAGACGUAUAAUAUUCACUUAAUUCAUGUAUUAUUUAAACAUUUAACAAAUAUAAUAAAUAUUCGAUGUUUCAAUGUGCAGAAUCAGUCUAAAACUGAAUAUGCAAAGUUGGUCCCUAACAAAGAAAAUUUGGAAACUUCCGCACAAACAUUAUCUGCAUCUGGUGAAAAUGAUCCAGAAUCAAUCAUUCUAAUGACUCCGGCUAAGGAUGUUGUAAUUGCUGACAAGGGUGAAGAAGUUGAUUUUGAAGCGUCUGGCGCUACGCAAUUAUCAGGCACCAAACCAUCCAAGAAAGUAAAGAUAGAACCAUCUUCUUAAUUAGAAUUUUCGGAAAUUUGAUAUUGAAAUAUAUUUUAUGA